CUCUAGAAGCACCUUAUAGAUCCUUCAAGAGCUGGGAAUGGACAGCCUGCAUUCUACUGGUUAUUUUCUUUCCUCCAUCUCUAUGUACUUAUGAUCCCUACUUUGUGGUGUACAAACUAUUCUCAUUACAGGUUAACAUCUACAUGAACCAACGGGCAUGGUCAUCCAAUGGCAUGGAGGUUUUGUCUUGGUGUCUGGACGCUAUGUUGAAGGCUCUGUUCUUUCUGAGGCAAAGGAGAAAGUGGCUGGACACAUAGUCAGCCAGAUGUUUAGACUGCAUUUGGCAUUUUUAACAACCUGUCAAGUCCUCCCCAAGGACCCAGCAACAAUACAUUUAUGAACAUGAAACAUCAAGAAAGGAAAAGAGGACUCAUGAGACAUAUGCCUGAAAUCACGAAGGAAAUAUUAAGCACUGGAAAUACUUUCUUUUUCCGUUUCCUAAACCAAAAUAUUUUGUGAAAUAUUGUCUUUAAAAAGUCUGUUUAUAAUUUUCAGUAAAAUACAGAACAAUUCUAAAUUAUUGGGAAAUAAAUUUGUUUAUUUCAGUGAUUGAGCUACAUGAAAAUAGCAAGACAACAGCUAAGACAGUAAAGUAAUGGUGUAAUGAAAGAAGCAAUAUAAAACAGAGAAUAUUUUGUUGACAGGAAUAUUGGAAGUGGACUAAGGGAUCAGUCCUGAUGAAAAUGGUGAUAUUUGAGUUGGCAUGUAGGAGAAAAUUAGUAGCCAAGAAUCUCAAUUUUUAGUUUCUUUGCUUGCACUGUGAGGAAUGCAUUAGUUGUAUAUCUGGGUGCCUCAAAUUGAUUGUCAGAACUUGGUUUGUAUAAUCUCUACUGGCCUGAAAUUGUAAAAAUGGGCUCUAUAAAGUAUUGGAGUCAUGGGAAUUGCAAUGAAAAAUUUCAGAUUGCUUAUACUGUAUGUAGUCCCUACAUUUUGUUUGUUGAUUUCACAGUGGCUUCUGUAACUUUUCUAUACUGUAACAGUCACUUUUCUGAAAUGAUAUAGGGUUUCCUGCUUGAACAGGGGUUGAACUAGAAGACCUCCAUGAUCCCUUCCAACUCUAUUACUCUCUAUUCUGUAUACAGCCCUGUCUGUCCCAGAAGUUAAACUGGAAAAAGUAUUUUGAGAAUUACAACUGAUUUUAGCAAUAGUGUUAUUGUGAAGUUUUUGAAGUUUUUAAGAAUAGGAGAAGCCUAUUCUUGUUGGAAUCAUCUUCUCCCAAAGAAUUAUUCUCAAUUGCAAGUAAAAAAUUGAUUUGAGAUCAAUAAAGGCUCUAUAUAGGACAGAUAACUACGUGGGUUGUGUAUGUAUGUUUACUUCUGUUUGUCAUAUUCUCACCAUACCCUAAAUAAAUAAUAAAUAAUAUGAUAGAUAUAUUUUUGUUGUGUUUUGUUUUUCAGUAAGAUAACAUAGGACCAAAUCACUGUCCAUUGUAAAACAAGGCAAAACCAGCUUGCUCAUUACUACAAAUUAAUUCAGUCAUUAACUAUUCUUGUAAUUUCCAAUUCAGAUAGCUAGCACCGAGUUAAUUAUGAUAUUUAGAAGGCUUAUAGUACAACAGUUAGAGUGCAAUGCCUUCAAUCAGCUUUUUUAAAAUAUUGAGUCAUUCUACAGCCAAGGGAAUAUGGUCUGUAUAAUACAUACUCUGCAAGACAAGAAAGAUACCAGAAUGGAAACCCACAAGUUAGCUAGGAUAAUACGAGUGAUUUUUGAAAACAAUUGCUUUUCUUGUCAUUCCUCUUCAAAGAAGGGCUUGAUUGAAAUAGUUUUGAAAUAUUUGUAGUUUAAUUUUGAUAUUGAUAUGCCAUCAAAUCUUGACUGAAUUUAUUUAGUGAACUGAAUGAAAA
This is a non-coding RNA of Pantherophis guttatus, 1844 nucleotides long. The record is from RefSeq and is a predicted model, not a curated record. Lineage: Eukaryota; Metazoa; Chordata; Lepidosauria; Squamata; Colubridae.